CGCGUAGGCGGAUAUUACAGUCAGGCGUGAAAUUCCUGGGCUCAACCUGGGGGCUGCGUUUGAUACGUGAUGUCUGGAGUUCGGAAGAGGGUCGUGGAAUUCCCAGUGUAGAGGUGAAAUUCGUAGAUAUUGGGAAGAACACCGGUGGCGAAGGCGGCGACCUGGUCCGAUACUGACGCUGAGGCGCGAAAGCGUGGGGAGCAAACAGGAUUAGAUACCCUGGUAGUCCACGCUGUAAACGAUGCGCGCUGGAUGUUGGGUGACAUAGUCAUUCAGUGUCGUAGCUAACGCGAUAAGCGCACCGCCUGGGGAGUACGGCCGCAAGGUUGAA
This 331-nucleotide ribosomal RNA is filed under the name uncultured bacterium. RNAcentral's name for it is "bacterial SSU rRNA". It matches the Rfam family "Bacterial small subunit ribosomal RNA", at positions 568 to 898 of the family's 1533-position model. The record is from RNAcentral.